CAGCCCGUCAGCUGAAGUGAUGUCAUCAUCUGUCCCACAAUGCAAUCCACUGGAGGAUGGGCAAAAACAAGACAACCAACAUCAGUGCCUUGAUAUUACUGCACAACAAUUAGAUGGUAAUGAUGCCACAAAUCUAGAGGCUGACAAUGAGAUAUCUAUAUUGGGAAAGGAAACAUCAGAGGGCCUCACAACAAGCGAAGCAGAGCCUUUUAAUGAAGCUUUCAUGAGUAAAGAUGUUGACCAGCUCAUAAAGCAUGAGGAGGAAAAGGCAGAAAAGAGUCUUGAGUCCCUUGGUGACCAGAACAAGGAAGACAGUAUAAGCCUGAGUGUAUCAGAACAGGCAGAAGCUGUGAAUCGGUUAUCAUCUCCUACAGAAGUUCACAGUCCAGAUUGUGCAGCUAUCACAGUUGAGGAUGUACAUGCCAGUGAGAAAACAGAGUCUUUCUUCUGUCAGUCUGGUGUUGGGACUCACGGUGAGGCUCUUGAUCCUUUAGAACAAGAACACUACACAUCAUCUCUUACACCAGAUCACAUUCCAGAGAUCACAGUUGCCUCACUGAAUGUGCAUACAGAGAGUUCUAGCCCCGAGACAUACAACCCUGCAAUCGAACACUGUGAAGAAGUUGAACAAGGGACACAGACUCACAUUCUCAGUUCCUCUAUGGAACCAGAAGUUUCAAAUAUUAGUACCGACAUUUCUGAUGCAUUGCACAAUGAACAGACCAAGCAGUCUGUUUCUCAAUCACUUACUAUGGAAAGCACAGAUACACCGGAAAAGACAGCACAGUAUGACGACUGUGAAUCCACCUUCAAACUUCCAUAUCACACAGAGGAGGCGAAUGUAAAACAGGGUGCCUCGAAACAGAAGAGAAAGAUGGGGUCAACCCGCAGGACAAAGAGAGAACAGAAAAGGGAAGAGACAAGUGAAGUCAUGAGUAC
This is a long non-coding RNA of Clupea harengus (Atlantic herring), 939 nucleotides long. Lineage: Eukaryota; Metazoa; Chordata; Actinopteri; Clupeiformes; Clupeidae. The record is from Ensembl.